Molecule: small RNA, 29 nt
Filed under: Bombyx mori (domestic silkworm)
Lineage: Eukaryota; Metazoa; Arthropoda; Insecta; Lepidoptera; Bombycidae
Description: ovarian small RNA-9835
Source: RNAcentral
AAAAAUGAAAAAUCUAAAUGUGCUACUGG